GACGAACCGUGCAAACGUUGUUCGGAAUCACUGGGCUUAAAGGGCGCGUAGGCGGUCGAUCAAGUCCGGGGUGAAAUCUUUCGGCUUAACCGGAAAAGUGCCUUGGAUACUGAUCGGCUGGAGGGAGGUAGGGGCAGCUGGAACUUCCAGUGGAGCGGUGAAAUGCGUUGAUAUUGGAAGGAACGCCGGUGGCGAAAGCGAGCUGCUGGACCUCUUCUGACGCUGAGGCGCGAAAGCUAGGGGAGCAAACGGG
RNAcentral lists this ribosomal RNA (253 nucleotides) under uncultured bacterium. Its description in RNAcentral is "partial 16S ribosomal RNA". It matches the Rfam family "Bacterial small subunit ribosomal RNA", at positions 524 to 776 of the family's 1533-position model. The record is from RNAcentral.